GACGAACGCUGGCGGCGUGCUUAACACAUGCAAGUCGAGCGGUAAGGCCCUUCGGGGUACACGAGCGGCGAACGGGUGAGUAACACGUGGGUGACCUGCCUCUAGCUCUGGGAUAAGCCUGGGAAACUGGGUCUAAUACCGGAUAUGACUCCACGGCGCAUGUUGUGGGGUGGAAAGCCUUGUGUGGCUAGAGAUGGGCCCGCGGCCUAUCAGCUUGUUGGUGGGGUGAUGGCCUACCAAGGCGACGACGGGUAGCCGGCCUGAGAGGGCGACCGGCCACACUGGGACUGAGACACGGCCCAGACUCCUACGGGAGGCAGCAGUGGGGAAUCUUGCGCAAUGGGCGAAAGCCUGACGCAGCGACGCCGCGUGAGGGAUGACGGCCUCGG
RNAcentral lists this ribosomal RNA (389 nucleotides) under uncultured bacterium. Its description in RNAcentral is "bacterial SSU rRNA". It matches the Rfam family "Bacterial small subunit ribosomal RNA", at positions 28 to 420 of the family's 1533-position model. The record is from RNAcentral.